AAUAGGUUAUCUUUUUUUAGACUUUAAGGGUUUAGCUACAGCCUUAGCGUUUAUUUUAGGCUUAUUA
This 67-nucleotide transfer RNA is filed under the name Parmotrema ultralucens. Its description in RNAcentral is "tRNA-Cys". Lineage: Eukaryota; Fungi; Ascomycota; Lecanoromycetes; Lecanorales; Parmeliaceae. The record is from RNAcentral.